CUAUGCACUUGAUAGAAUUGAGCCUCGGUAUGGAAACCUACCAAGUGAUAGCUUCCAAAUCCAAGGAACCCUGGGAUAUUUUGAAUGGGUAAUCUAGAGCCAAAUUUGGUUCAUGGAGACAAUAGUUUUGUCUCCUAAGAUAGGGAGGGGAUAGGUGUAGAGACUCAAUAAAAAUCCUGCAGGGUAACCAAUGGUAUAAUUUAGUUUUAAUCAUUUUUUAAAUGAAUUAUAAAAUAUUACAAAUAGGCAAUUAAUAUUUCCCUCCAAUAGG
Picea glauca (white spruce) is the source of this 271-nucleotide non-coding RNA. Lineage: Eukaryota; Viridiplantae; Streptophyta; Pinopsida; Pinales; Pinaceae. The record is from Rfam.